UCGUGGAGUGAUUUGUCUGCUUGAUUGCGAUAACGAACGAGACCUCCGCCUGCUAAAUAGUGCCGUUAAUCUCGUAUUGACGGACACUUCUUAGAGGGACUACCACCGUAAGGUGGGGGAAGUUGGAGGCAAUAACA
This 137-nucleotide ribosomal RNA is filed under the name uncultured eukaryote. RNAcentral describes it as "partial 18S ribosomal RNA". It matches the Rfam family "Eukaryotic small subunit ribosomal RNA", at positions 1299 to 1458 of the family's 1831-position model. The record is from RNAcentral.